Monodelphis domestica (gray short-tailed opossum) is the source of this 952-nucleotide non-coding RNA. The record is from RefSeq and is a predicted model, not a curated record. Lineage: Eukaryota; Metazoa; Chordata; Mammalia; Didelphimorphia; Didelphidae.
AGGGAACUUCUCAGAGAUUUUGUCGAGAGGAUUUCUAUGCUGAGGGGAAGUUGGUCUAAGGAGCUAUUCUUUCACUCUUGGUGGUUAUCUAAUGCUGACAGCACAGAGAUUAAAUCCAAUCCUGAAACAUACAGCACAGCAAAACACACCCUGGCUGCCUUUGUUUUGGGAAAACACAGAACCCAAGGUUGCCAUGGUAGGGACAGAGUCAGUGGACAUCAGGUGACUAAAAGGUCAGCGUUGGCCUUUAGUGGUCUGUUUACUUAUGUUUUGGGUACUCUGUACAACACCUCCCUUGGCGGGUAGGCACAGAGCCCAGGAAUUAGACGUGUGGCUAGGCUAGUUUUUGGCUUUCUGAAUAGGCUGCUGAUGGCAUCUCUUUAGGGAAGUAGAUCUGUCCCUGACCUCUCCUAGUCCAAAGAGUGAAGGAAGCUCCUGUGAAAAACUCAAGUGGCAAGACCAAAGUCAGGACAACUAGUGAUGAUUGAAGAGGUUAAGAGAAAAUUGAGCUGAACCUUGAAGAAAGCUAUGGAUUCCUGUAGAGGAUCAAAUGUAAACUCUACUGUUUGGCUUCUAAAGUCCUUCACAAAGCAAGUCUCCAAGACCAUCAAGGACUCAUGAUGAAAAUGUUCUCUACCACCAAAGAAGGAAUUGUUGGAAUCUGAGUGUAGAUUAAAGCAUGCCAUUUUCCUCUUUAUUUCCUUCAUGAAAUUUCUAUUGCAUGUAUAAUAGAUGUCUUCUAUCAUAACAUGAGGAAAAUGGAAAUAUGUAUUGCAUGAAAGUAUGGGUAUAACCUCUAUCAGUCUAUUUACUGUCCUAGAAAGGGUAGGGAAGGGUAGGGAAGGAGAAAAUCAGAAUUUCAAAAUGUCAGAAAACACUUAUCAAAAAUUGUUUCUACCUGUAACAGAAAAAAAUAAAAAGAAUAUUGGAGAAAAAUAAAGUCCUUUACAAA